AAGUCAUAACAAGGUUUCCGUAGGUGAACCUGCGGAAGGAUCAUUAAUGAUGCCCUCGACGUCUUUUGACUGGUAGGGUUGUGCCGCGUCUCUUAUCCCUAAGAGCCGGCCUUAUCUCACACACCGUGAACUGUGGCCUCGGCCAUUUACACAAACUGUUAGUAAUGAAUGUAAUAUCAUAACAAACAUAAAACUUUUAACAACGGAUCUCUUGGCUCUCGCAUCGAUGAAGAACGCAGCGAAAUGCGAUAAGUAAUGUGAAUUGCAGAAUUCAGUGAAUCAUCGAAUCUUUGAACGCACCUUGCGCCCUUUGGUAUUCCGAAGGGCAUGCCUGUUUGAGUGUCAUGAAACCUCACCCCACCCGGGUUUUUGCCCGGCUGGUGGUGGAUUGGGCGUCUGCCGAUAUACUGGCUCGCCUUAAAAGCAUAAGCGCCUUGGAUGUAAUACGUUUCAUCCUCACGGGUGGCUGACAACCCCACAUAUCUCAUGAUCUGGCCUCAAAUCAGGUAGGGCUACCCGCUGAACUUAA
RNAcentral lists this ribosomal RNA (529 nucleotides) under uncultured fungus. Its description in RNAcentral is "eukaryotic LSU rRNA". The stretch from base 192 to 345 matches the Rfam family "5.8S ribosomal RNA". Lineage: Eukaryota; Fungi. The record is from RNAcentral.